Molecule: unclassified non-coding RNA, 358 nt
Filed under: soil metagenome
Description: partial contains 5.8S ribosomal RNA, internal transcribed spacer 2, and large subunit ribosomal RNA
Rfam family: 5.8S ribosomal RNA (bases 1-120)
Source: RNAcentral
GAUGAAGAACGCAGUGAAAUGCGAUAAGUAAUGUGAAUUGCAGAAUUCAGUGAAUCAUCGAAUCUUUGAACGCACAUUGCGCCCGUCAGUAUUCUGGCGGGCAUGCCUGUUCGAGCGUCAUUACGCCCCUCAAGUCCCCUGUGGACUUGGUGUUGGGGAUCGGCGAGGCUGGUUUUCCAGCACAGCCGUCCCUUAAAUUAAUUGGCGGUCUCGUCGUGGCCCUCCUCUGCGCAGUAGUAAAACACUCGCAACAGGAGCCCGGCGCGGUCCACUGCCGUAAAACCCCCCAACUUUUUAUAGUUGACCUCGAAUCAGGUAGGACUACCCGCUGAACUUAAGCAUAUCAAUAAGCGGAGGA